This 267-nucleotide ribosomal RNA is filed under the name Pantoea sp. VS1. RNAcentral's name for it is "partial 23S ribosomal RNA". It matches the Rfam family "Bacterial large subunit ribosomal RNA", at positions 2679 to 2925 of the family's 2925-position model. The record is from RNAcentral. Lineage: Bacteria; Pseudomonadati; Pseudomonadota; Gammaproteobacteria; Enterobacterales; Erwiniaceae.
UAGUACGAGAGGACCGGAGUGAACGCACCGCUGGUGUUCGGGUUGUCAUGCCAAUGGCACUGCCCGGUAGCUAAGUGCGGAAGAGAUAAGUGCUGAAAGCAUCUAAGCACGAAACUUGCCCCGAGAUGAGUUCUCCCUGACCCUUUAAGGGUCCUGAAGGGACGUUGAAGACGACGACGUUGAUAGGCCGGGUGUGUAAGCGCAGCGAUGCGUUGAGCUAACCGGUACUAAUGACCCGUGAGGCUUAACCUUACAACGCCAGAGGCG